GCGCCCGUAGCUCAACGGAUAGAGCAUCUGACUACGGAUCAGGAGGUUGUGGGUUCGAAUCCCACCGGGCGCG
Molecule: transfer RNA, 73 nt
Filed under: Pseudonocardiales bacterium
Lineage: Bacteria; Bacillati; Actinomycetota; Actinomycetes; Pseudonocardiales
Description: tRNA-Arg
Rfam family: tRNA
About the family: Transfer RNA (tRNA) molecules are approximately 80 nucleotides in length.
Source: RNAcentral